UACGAAGGGGGCAAGCGUUGUUCGGAAUUACUGGGCGUAAAGCGUACGUAGGCGGAUUGUUAAGUGAGGGGUGAAAUCCCGAGGCUCAACCUCGGAACUGCCUUUCAUACUGGCAAUCUUGAGUCCGGGAGAGGUGAGUGGAACUCCUAGUGUAGAGGUGAAAUUCGUAGAUAUUAGGAAGAACACCAGUGGCGAAGGCGGCUCACUGGCCCGGAACUGACGCUGAGGUACGAAAGCGUGGGGAGCAAACAGG
Molecule: ribosomal RNA, 253 nt
Filed under: uncultured bacterium
Lineage: Bacteria
Description: partial 16S ribosomal RNA
Rfam family: Bacterial small subunit ribosomal RNA
Source: RNAcentral